UACAGAGGUCCCAAGCGUUGUUCGGAUUCACUGGGCGUAAAGGGUGCGUAGGCGGCCGGGUAAGUCUGUUGUGAAAUCUCCAAGCUUAACUUGGAAACUGCAGUGGAUACUAUCCGGCUAGAGGAAUGGAGGGGAGACUGGAAUACUUGGUGUAGCAGUGAAAUGCGUAGAUAUCAAGUGGAACACCAGUGGCGAAGGCGAGUCUCUGGACAUUUCCUGACGCUGAGGCACGAAAGCGUGGGUAGCAAACAGG
RNAcentral lists this ribosomal RNA (253 nucleotides) under uncultured bacterium. Its description in RNAcentral is "partial 16S ribosomal RNA". It matches the Rfam family "Bacterial small subunit ribosomal RNA", at positions 524 to 776 of the family's 1533-position model. The record is from RNAcentral.